CCCAGAUUCCAUACUGCUCCACAGUCGGAUUUUAUUUUGUUUCAGAAAUACUUCAGGACCUUCUGUUACUUUUAUUUAUUUAGGGAAGAGUUUUAAGAAGGUCGCCAAAGUAACUUAGACUCUUGAAACAGAACAUUACAACCAAAGAAAGGAAACGUUAAUGGUGUAAGCCAUUCCUCAAAAAGUUAAACAUAGAAUUACUAUAGGACCAAGCCUAAAAGACUUCCACUCCUGGGCAUAUUCUCAAAAGACGUGAAAGCAAGUCUCAAGCAGAUACUUGCACACCUGUGUUCACAGCAGCGUUAUUCGCAGACAUACGUGUGGAGAAACAAAAUGUGGUCUCUACCUACAGUCGAAUAUGGUCCAGCCUUAGAGAGAGAGGAAAUUCUGACACACGCUGCAACACGCCUGAAUGAACCUUGAGGGGCAUUCUGCCGAGUGAGAAAAGCCAGACAGCAGGCACCAAAGGACAAAUGCUACCUGAUUCCACUGAGAUGAACUAUCUAGAAUAGGCAAAGGCAGAGGGACAGAGAGUAGACUGGAGGUACUGGGUUCUGCGUGGCGGCACUGGGGGUUAUUGCUUAAUGGGUGCAGAGUUUCUGUUUGGGGUGUUGACAUUUCUGAAAACAGCGGUGAUGGCUGCACAAUGUUGGGAGUGUCAUCAGUGUCACUGACUAGUACAACUUUGAGUUUACCUCUCUUCCUCCCCACGGCCAGAACAAGCGCAGUGACUGAACUAGAGCCUGGAGUCAUGUGAAGUGGAAGGGCCAGGCCUGAGCAAAGCACACAAGAUCCGGUGUGGGCAGCCUUGCUCCAAGCGGCCGCAGCUGUGGAGAAGCGCUCUCCUAGCUCCCAUCUCCCUGGGAGUGCCACUUGUCCCGCAUGCUUCCUGUGGAGAAUGGAGACUCUUGUCCAUACCUCGCAGCAUCCUUGUGAAGAUGAGAUGCGAUUGCUUCAAUCAGGUGCCUGGCAAAGCAUCUAGGACAUCGGUUGAGGUUAAUGAAUCUGGAAACACUGAGGCCACCUCCUGUUAACUAAGCUGCUCAUCAGCCUGGGGACCUCUCCAAGCAGAGAGCUCCGCACACUUUGUCCUGGCCUGCUCCUCAGGGCUCUGUUUCUUCCAGGCCCCCCACUGCA
This is a long non-coding RNA of Ailuropoda melanoleuca (giant panda), 1137 nucleotides long. RefSeq lists it as uncharacterized. The transcript is spliced from 3 exons. The record is from RefSeq and is a predicted model, not a curated record. Lineage: Eukaryota; Metazoa; Chordata; Mammalia; Carnivora; Ursidae.